RNAcentral lists this ribosomal RNA (1173 nucleotides) under Escherichia coli. Its description in RNAcentral is "partial 23S ribosomal RNA". It matches the Rfam family "Bacterial large subunit ribosomal RNA", at positions 375 to 1556 of the family's 2925-position model. Lineage: Bacteria; Pseudomonadati; Pseudomonadota; Gammaproteobacteria; Enterobacterales; Enterobacteriaceae. The record is from RNAcentral.
GUACACAAAAAUGCACAUAUUGUGAGCUCGAUGAGUAGGGCGGGACACGUGGUAUCCUGUCUGAAUAUGGGGGGACCAUCCUCCAAGGCUAAAUACUCCUGACUGACCGAUAGUGAACCAGUACCGUGAGGGAAAGGCGAAAAGAACCCCGGCGAGGGGAGUGAAAAAGAACCUGAAACCGUGUACGUACAAGCAGUGGGAGCCUCUUAAUGGGGUGACUGCGUACCUUUUGUAUAAUGGGUCAGCGACUUAUAUUCUGUAGCAAGGUUAACCGAAUAGGGGAGCCGAAGGGAAACCGAGUCUUAACUGGGCGUUAAGUUGCAGGGUAUAGACCCGAAACCCGGUGAUCUAGCCAUGGGCAGGUUGAAGGUUGGGUAACACUAACUGGAGGACCGAACCGACUAAUGUUGAAAAAUUAGCGGAUGACUUGUGGCUGGGGGUGAAAGGCCAAUCAAACCGGGAGAUAGCUGGUUCUCCCCGAAAGCUAUUUAGGUAGCGCCUCGUGAAUUCAUCUCCGGGGGUAGAGCACUGUUUCGGCAAGGGGGUCAUCCCGACUUACCAACCCGAUGCAAACUGCGAAUACCGGAGAAUGUUAUCACGGGAGACACACGGCGGGUGCUAACGUCCGUCGUGAAGAGGGAAACAACCCAGACCGCCAGCUAAGGUCCCAAAGUCAUGGUUAAGUGGGAAACGAUGUGGGAAGGCCCAGACAGCCAGGAUGUUGGCUUAGAAGCAGCCAUCAUUUAAAGAAAGCGUAAUAGCUCACUGGUCGAGUCGGCCUGCGCGGAAGAUGUAACGGGGCUAAACCAUGCACCGAAGCUGCGGCAGCGACACUAUGUGUUGUUGGGUAGGGGAGCGUUCUGUAAGCCUGUGAAGGUGGCCUGUGAGGGUUGCUGGAGGUAUCAGAAGUGCGAAUGCUGACAUAAGUAACGAUAAAGCGGGUGAAAAGCCCGCUCGCCGGAAGACCAAGGGUUCCUGUCCAACGUUAAUCGGGGCAGGGUGAGUCGACCCCUAAGGCGAGGCCGAAAGGCGUAGUCGAUGGGAAACAGGUUAAUAUUCCUGUACUUGGUGUUACUGCGAAGGGGGGACGGAGAAGGCUAUGUUGGCCGGGCGACGGUUGUCCCGGUUUAAGCGUGUAGGCUGGUUUUCCAGGCAAAUCCGGAAAACCAAGGC